RNAcentral lists this long non-coding RNA (290 nucleotides) under Bemisia tabaci. Its description in RNAcentral is "lncRNA ENSASIAIIG007851". The record is from RNAcentral. Lineage: Eukaryota; Metazoa; Arthropoda; Insecta; Hemiptera; Aleyrodidae.
UUCUUCAGUCAGAUUUUGAUGGUACAGCAAAGGAUAUUUGUAAAAUCCCUGUAAAUGAGUUCAUCGACAGUGUGGUUUUGCUACAUUUGUAUACUGUAUUUGUCUGAGAUAAUUUAAUUUAAGACCGUGAUACAAGAAAACUAACUCAAAAAUCAUAAAUGCGAUCUGGUCCUUCUUGAGAAGAUACUUUCCUCUUUUCCUGGAACGUCAAGACAUUUUUGAAGAGGAAAAAUACACACCCGAGCACAUAGUUUCUUAACCAAAAGACGUCUGUUUCAAACUUCUGCGCU